Molecule: ribosomal RNA, 301 nt
Filed under: uncultured bacterium
Lineage: Bacteria
Description: partial 16S ribosomal RNA
Rfam family: Bacterial small subunit ribosomal RNA
Source: RNAcentral
CAGCAGCCGCGGUAAAACGAAGGGGGCUAGCGUUGUUCGGAAUCACUGGGCGUAAAGCGCACGUAGGCGGAUUUUUAAGUCAGGGGUGAAAUCCCGAGGCUCAACCUCGGAACUGCCUUUGAUACUGGGAAUCUGGAGUCCGGGAGAGGUGGGCGGAGCUGCGAGUGUAGAGGUGAAAUUCGUAGAUAUUCGCAAGAACACCAGUGGCGAAGGCGGCUCACUGGCCCGGUACUGACGCUGAGGUGCGAAAGCGUGGGGAGCAAACAGGAUUAGAUACCCCCGUAGUCCCUGUCUCUUAUAC